RNAcentral lists this ribosomal RNA (98 nucleotides) under uncultured bacterium. RNAcentral describes it as "partial 16S ribosomal RNA". It matches the Rfam family "Bacterial small subunit ribosomal RNA", at positions 1386 to 1482 of the family's 1533-position model. The record is from RNAcentral.
CACACCGCCCGUCACACCAUGGGAGUUUGUUGCACCAGAAGCAGGUAGCUUAACCGCAAGGGGGGCGCUUGCCACCGGUGUGGCCGAUGACUGGGGUG